Non-coding RNA from Fukomys damarensis (Damara mole-rat), 46 nucleotides. The record is from Rfam. Lineage: Eukaryota; Metazoa; Chordata; Mammalia; Rodentia; Bathyergidae.
ACAAAGGCUCUUUUCAGAGCCACCACCUUCUCACGAGAGAGCUGCC